AACGAACGCUGGCGGCAGGCCUCAUACAUGCAAGUCUAACGGGUGUAGCAAUAAAUCAGUGGCGCACGGGUGAGUAACGCGUGGGAAUAUGCCCUUCACUACGGAACAACCUCGGGAAACUGAGGCUAAUACCGUAUAAUGUCUCCGGACCAAAGAUUUAUCGGUCAAGGAUUAGCCCGCGUCUGAUUAGGUAGUUGGUGAGGUAACGGCUCACCAAGCCUACGAUCAGUAGCUGGUCUGAGAGGAUGAUCAGCCAAACUGGGACUGAGACACGGCCCAAACUCCUACGGGAGGGCGGAGUAAGGAAUAUUGGACAAUGGGGGAAACCCUGAGCCAGCCAUGCCGCGUGAGUGAAGAAGGCCUUCGGGUUGUAAAGCUCUUUUACCCCUGACGAUAAUGACGGUAAGGGGAGAAAAAGCCACGGCUAACUUCGUGCCAGCCGCCGCGGUAA
This 451-nucleotide ribosomal RNA is filed under the name uncultured bacterium. RNAcentral's name for it is "partial 16S ribosomal RNA". It matches the Rfam family "Bacterial small subunit ribosomal RNA", at positions 29 to 523 of the family's 1533-position model. The record is from RNAcentral.